This 492-nucleotide ribosomal RNA is filed under the name uncultured bacterium. RNAcentral's name for it is "partial 16S ribosomal RNA". It matches the Rfam family "Bacterial small subunit ribosomal RNA", at positions 29 to 507 of the family's 1533-position model. The record is from RNAcentral.
AGUGAACGCUGGCGGUAGGCCUAAUACAUGCAAGUCGAACGGCAGCACAGUAAGAUCUCGCUUUUACGGUUGGCGAGGGGCGGACGGGUGACAAGUACAUCAGCAUCUUCUUUUUCUUGGGUGAUUACGGGAAGCAACUUCCGCUAAUACCGCAUAUGAUGUACGGGUGAAUUCAAGGGAGCUUCACACCUUUCGUGACUGUAAUAGCUGGAGUCGGAUUAGCUAGUUGGCGUGGUAAGGGCCCACCAAGGCGACGAUCCGUAGCUGAUCUGAGAGGAUGAUCAGCCACACUGGAACUGAGACACGGUCCAGACUCCUACGGGAGGCAGCAGUAGGGAAUAUUCGGCAAUGGGCGCAAGCCUGAUCCAGCCAUGCCGCGUGGGUGAAGAAGGCCUUCGGGUCGUAAAGCCCUUUUAUUGGGAAAGAAAAGCAGCAGGUUAAUACCCCGCUGUUCUGACGGUACCCAAAGAAUAAGCACCGGCUAACUUCGUG